This is a non-coding RNA of Cinara cedri, 433 nucleotides long. NCBI's taxonomy places the organism in Eukaryota, Metazoa, Arthropoda, Insecta, Hemiptera, Aphididae. The record is from the annotation of a GenBank genome assembly.
GGUUACAAAUAUGAGGUCUGUUCAAAAAGUUCCAGGCCUGUUUGAAUUAUUAUACACCAACAGGGUGUCCAUGAUGAGUAAUUAUAUUGAUGCCAUAGGCUCCUCAUGAGCACAUGUGUUUUUUUCACAUUAUAUGUCUAUGGUUUUUGUAGAUAGUCUAUCUAGUAUAAUCUUUUUUUGUUUUGAUGUCAUUAAUGUUAUUGUAAAAUAUUUUUUUUCCGUAUUGGUCAAUUUUGUAAUAAUUUCAAAAGAGCUUUUUUGAGGGGGGAAGAUUUUUUCUUACAUUUUGUUUGGUAGAGGAAUGCAAUGUUUCACAAGACUUUUGCCAACAAAUUAUAAUUGAAAACAGCAGAUGUGCAAGGUAAAAGUUUUUCUCUAGAAUGUGGAGAAAGGUCCAAAUUCAGGUUUAUCAGGAUCAUUUUCUUAUGGUAAA